GCCUCGUCCUUUUCCCUCUGCUCCCCAGAGACACAUCUCAUGUCCUUGUCCUUGCUGCAUGCUUGCAGCUGCUUUGUGUCCCACAGACUUGCUUUGCACCUUUCAGAAACUUUGCCACUUUUGCUGCAUAUACAAAAUAGCCUUCCUCCUCAGCACAAGUGCAUUUAAUCUCCCUGAACCCUUAAAAGAAAAUAUUCUUUUAAUUUUACUCCUGUGGUAAUCUCUUGUCUUCCCUCACAGUUACUUUUUGGCUGGUGUUCGCUUCUGAGAUCUUUUAUAAUGUUUCAGUGUUCUUUGAGCAGUGGCACUUGCAUGCUGCAACCAGACAUGGAUGAUGAAAGCCAUAUGCAAAGAAAUGGUCCUCCUCUGAAGAGCUCACAGACUGCAGGUGGUGGUGGGGAAAAGGUGGAUUCCCAAAGCAGCUACUUGGCAUUAUUGGCAGCAGCAAUCUGAAAAGAAAGACCCAACCAGACUGCAGCUUUGUUUGGCAUCAAACUUGCCUCCUGAGAUGAUCACACAAGAAGUCUUUUAUCACUUUGGCAGCUGAGAGCCAGAGCUGCUUGUGGUGGAAGUCGCUGGGACCGUAACCCCGAGUUGUCGUGGGAUGAGAGUCAAGCUUGGCCUGUCAGCAAGGCGAGUUGCAGCAGUCUGAGCCCCUGCCAGGACACGUCAGUACUUCUGAGCGUGCUUCCCCCGGUGCUGCUCUCAUUAAGGAAAAGGCUAGAAGCUCUUUGAGGAAGAGACUGGCUGUGUGGUUUGUGCCUGUUUAUAUUGUCCCACAGCUGGAGCUUCUGGACAUGUCCACUGCCAAAAACAUCCCCUCCACUGUGGGUGAUGGAUGAUGCAAAAGGAUGGCAUAAUAUAGCAAUGAAGAGCUGAAAAUAGGUGGUUUGAAUUAAGUAAAACAUAUGGGAUUUUCUCCAG
This 924-nucleotide long non-coding RNA is filed under the name Gallus gallus (chicken). RNAcentral describes it as "lncRNA (ENSGALG00010020763.1)". The record is from RNAcentral. Lineage: Eukaryota; Metazoa; Chordata; Aves; Galliformes; Phasianidae.